CCUACGGGGGGCAGCAGUAGGGAAUAUUGGACAAUGGGGGGAACCCUGAUCCAGCCAUGCCGCGUGUGUGAAGAAGGCCCUCGGGUUGUAAAGCACUUUCAGUGAGGAAGAACGCCUGGUGGUUAAUACCCAUCAGGAAAGACAUCACUCACAGAAGAAGCACCGGCUAACUCCGUGCCAGCAGCCGCGGUAAUACGGAGGGUGCGAGCGUUAAUCGGAAUUACUGGGCGUAAAGCGCGCGUAGGUGGCUUGAUAAGCCGGUUGUGAAAGCCCCGGGCUCAACCUGGGAACGGCAUCCGGAACUGUCAAGCUAGAGUGCAGGAGAGGAAGGUAGAAUUCCCGGUGUAGCGGUGAAAUGCGUAGAGAUCGGGAGGAAUACCAGUGGCGAAGGCGGCCUUCUGGACUGACACUGACACUGCGGUGCGAAAGCGUGGGUAGCAAACAGGAUUAGAUACCCGAGUAGUC
Molecule: ribosomal RNA, 465 nt
Filed under: Vreelandella stevensii
Lineage: Bacteria; Pseudomonadati; Pseudomonadota; Gammaproteobacteria; Oceanospirillales; Halomonadaceae
Description: partial 16S ribosomal RNA
Rfam family: Bacterial small subunit ribosomal RNA
Source: RNAcentral